AGCCAGCGAUGGCCGCGGAGGGGGCGAACUGGGUUCCGGCCCUCGGAGGCUGACGGAAGGCGGUGGCUGAGGAGCGGCGCCUCUGGUUGAGCGCUCGCCGUGUGUCCCGCACCUGUCUGUCCUGCCGCCGCCCGGUAAGCACAGCACCGCACAUCUCCAGUCGGACUGGCUACAUUUCAAGGGCUCAACCAUCACACAUUACCAGUGGCUACUGCAUCAGACUGUGCAGUGCUAGAUGGGGAGUCAGAAGAGAAACCAAGUGAUUUCCAUGUCAAGUGGUGAACAGGCUAAGAAGAAAUGUAAAUUGGGGAAAGAGCAUGGGGAAUGUGGGAGUUGCUGUUUGAAAGAGGAUGGUUGGGAAGGCUGAAGAGCUGUCAUUUGCAGAGGGACCCAAAAGAGGUGAGAGCACUGAACAAAUAGUUACAUUCUUCAUUGUCUGCCACAGUGCUGUCCAGAAGAACUUCCCACGAUAAUGGGCAUGUUCCAU
Molecule: long non-coding RNA, 487 nt
Filed under: Pan troglodytes (chimpanzee)
Lineage: Eukaryota; Metazoa; Chordata; Mammalia; Primates; Hominidae
Description: long non-coding RNA NONPTRT007949
Source: RNAcentral